RNAcentral lists this ribosomal RNA (488 nucleotides) under uncultured bacterium. RNAcentral describes it as "partial 16S ribosomal RNA". It matches the Rfam family "Bacterial small subunit ribosomal RNA", at positions 29 to 506 of the family's 1533-position model. The record is from RNAcentral.
AUGCACGCUAGCUACAGGCUUAACCCAUGCAAGUCGCGGGGCAGCAUGGUCUUAGCUUGCUAAGGCCGAUGGCGACCGGCGCACGGGUGAGUAACACGUAUCCAACCUGCCGUCUACUCUUGGACAGCCUUCUGAAAGGAAGAUUAAUACAAGAUGGCAUCAUGAGUCCGCAUGUUCACAUGAUUAAAGGUAUUCCGGUAGACGAUGGGGAUGCGUUCCAUUAGAUAGUAGGCGGGGUAACGGCCCACCUAGUCUUCGAUGGAUAGGGGUUCUGAGAGGAAGGUCCCCCACAUUGGAACUGAGACACGGUCCAAACUCCUACGGGAGGCAGCAGUGAGGAAUAUUGGUCAAUGGGCGCAGGCCUGAACCAGCCAAGUAGCGUGAAGGAUGACUGCCCUAUGGGUUGUAAACUUCUUUUAUAAAGGAAUAAAGUCGGGUAUGUAUACCCGUUUGCAUGUACUUUAUGAAUAAGGAUCGGCUAACUCCGU